RNAcentral lists this microRNA (22 nucleotides) under Oryza sativa (Asian cultivated rice). RNAcentral's name for it is "osa-miR1846d-5p". RNAcentral also lists the same sequence under 1 other name. The record is from miRBase by way of RNAcentral. Lineage: Eukaryota; Viridiplantae; Streptophyta; Magnoliopsida; Poales; Poaceae.
UCCCACCGAGCAGCCGGAUCUC